AUGGAUGGGCAGUCAGGGAAAACCAUGCAGAGUCUACCGGAUACAUUGUCAUCCCUCAAGGGGUUCAACAAGUACCUCACACCCGGUUGGAUUGAAUCAGUGUCCCACAUCCUCAAGGAGUUGACACCAACCAAACCACAGAAAGUAAUGGAAGAGGAUGCUCAAAAUGUAUUUGAGUGUCAUGACACAGAAUUAGACAUUAAAGUUGCGAAGAUUCAAGAUGAAAUGGUUUCACUGGGUGCCCAACUAAAGCAGAAAACACUGCAGAAGAGAGAGUCACUAAAUAACUAUUUGGACUUGAAAGGAAGUAUAAGGGUGUUCUGUCGUAUGAGGCCUUUCAACCAUGAAGAAAGUUACAGCUCCAGAACCAUGUUCACCCUUGAUGAGAGUAAUGUUUUCUUAAAAGUUGCUGAAACCAAGACAAAGCAAUACAAGUUCGAUAAGGUUUUCGACCCAUGCUCAACACAAGGUGAUGUAUUUUCUGAAGUCGAACCAGUGAUAAAAUCAGCUAUAGAUGGCUACAACGUUUGCAUAUUUGCCUAUGGUCAGACAGGUAGUGGAAAAACUUAUACAAUGGAAGGCAAGCCUAAAGAUUUGGGUGUCAUACCACGCGGGAUUCAAGUACUGUUUGAUCGAGCUUCAGAGAGCAACAGCAGAUUUCAGUUCACUUUCAGCAUGCUCGAGAUAUAUAUGGGAAACCUACGAGAUCUACUAGUUCCAGGAAGCAAGACCAAUGGGUUAAAGAAUGUUCCGAGCCUCUCUAUUAAAACGGAUCCUGAUGGUGGCAUUGAGAUUGAAAAUCUAGUGGCAGUUACCGUGAAUAAUUUUCAAGAAGUGAAAAGAUUAUAUGGUGUGGGGACCCGUCUUAGAUCAACAGCUUCCACUAUGGCUAAUUCUACAUCAAGUAGAUCUCACUGUUUGAUUCGCAUUUCAUUGACCUCCUUUGAUGCACCUGAGAGAAAAAAAGCAAGAAACAAAAUAUGGAUGAUUGAUCUAGGUGGAAGUGAGAGACUUGUAAAGACCAAAGCAACUGGUAAAAGGCUGAAGGAAGGCAAAGCCAUAAAUUUGUCAUUGUCAGCCCUAGGGGAUGUGAUUGAUGCACUACAGACUAAAAAACCUCAUGUACCUUACAGGAAUAGUAAGCUUACACAAGUUCUGAGAGAUUCUCUAGGAUGCGAGUCCAAAACAUUGAUGCUUGUCCAUAUUAGACCAAAUGAGAAUGAUUUGUGCGAGACCGUUUGUACCUUGGGUUUUGCAACAAGAGUGAGAAGUAUCCGUCUAGAAAGUGAAGAAUCGCCAGAGGUAAAAACAAGGAAGGAAGAUUUCUUAAAGGAGUUAGAACAGACGGUCAGUAAUUUGGAACAAGAAUGUGACAAUAUUAGAAGAGAAAUUAAGAAGCUCAAGGAUACAGUGGAACAUUUGAGAGGGCCUCAAACAUCUGCUAGCACAAAUUUUGCAACUUCACAUCCGUCCACUCAGGAACUGAAGAUUGACAUGUCAAAGAAUGUAAGAAGUCUGAAGAAUCAUAGAGAAGUUCCGUGUGGGUUACCAAGGUUCAUGAAGCCAACUGCUGCUAGCCAGCACAGGAUAGGUUUAAACAACAAUGUUCCCAGUAUUAACAGGAUGAAACCACCAAUGCCACCAAAGAGAAGGCCUUCUUCUGUCUAUGCAGAAUCUGUAAGAUUUCCAGUAAAUGCCGAUACUUGGCAGUCAGAAUGCAGUUCUGAGUGCAGUAUCUCCAUGACAAGUGACAUGAAUUGGACACCGAGCAUACUAGAUGGGACUCAAUGUAGCCAAGAUGCAUCAGAGUACGAGAUCAAACAGGUGAUUUUCUCAGAACAUGAGAAACCAUCACAGGGUCAAGUCAUUUCCUUCAAAGAAUGGCAACUUACAGAAUCAGAGAAUAUGCAGAACAAAACUGAAGAAAGGAGUAUUAUAGACAUUGAUAAUUGGAUCCACCAACAAAUACUUCAAAGUGCUGACACAUGCCAAAGCAAAAGGGUUGUAACUGUUCCCAAUGUAACUGAAGAAGAAACUUUCAAUAUUCCUUCACCAAUUAAGAUUGAAGGGACUAAAAGUUGUAAGCAAGCACAGGACGAAAAAAGUGAACUAACCCUACAACCCCCACCACUCGAUGCAAAGGAUAUAAAGCGACCCAAGGCAGUUAAUCAUUUCGCCACAGCAGAAUUAUACAGUCCUCCAUCAAGAGAACAUUGCAGAACCAACGAGACAAAGAAACAUAUGAAUGAAAAUCUUGCAUAUCAGGGGAGAUCCAGAAGAUCUCUUCAAGAAAAGCUGGAUGGUUGCAUGCUAAAGCUGCCAGAAUCUGAUCUCAAUACAAGUCCUGAAAUCAGGCCCCAGGAAGAGGAACACAGCAUAGGAAAACUGAAAAAGUUCUUUCAAGCUCUCCAAACAGCAUGGGGCUGUGUUCGUCUAGGAUUAGGCAUUGUCAACCUUGGAUUAGAGCACGAGUUCUUUCAAAGCUUGAUACUUUGA
RNAcentral lists this ribosomal RNA (2496 nucleotides) under Triticum aestivum (bread wheat). RNAcentral's name for it is "partial small subunit ribosomal RNA". Lineage: Eukaryota; Viridiplantae; Streptophyta; Magnoliopsida; Poales; Poaceae. The record is from RNAcentral.